RNAcentral lists this transfer RNA (72 nucleotides) under Bdellovibrionales bacterium. RNAcentral describes it as "tRNA-Pro". It matches the Rfam family "tRNA". Rfam says of the family: Transfer RNA (tRNA) molecules are approximately 80 nucleotides in length. Their secondary structure includes four short double-helical elements and three loops (D, anti-codon, and T loops). Further hydrogen bonds mediate the characteristic L-shaped molecular structure. tRNAs have two regions of fundamental functional importance: the anti-codon, which is responsible for specific mRNA codon recognition, and the 3' end, to which the tRNAs corresponding amino acid is attached (by aminoacyl-tRNA synthetases). tRNAs cope with the degeneracy of the genetic code in two manners: having more than one tRNA (with a specific anti-codon) for a particular amino acid; and 'wobble' base-pairing, i.e. permitting non-standard base-pairing at the 3rd anti-codon position. Lineage: Bacteria; Pseudomonadati; Bdellovibrionota; Bdellovibrionia; Bdellovibrionales. The record is from RNAcentral.
GGGCGAUUGGUCUAGUGGUAUGAUUCCUGCUUAGGGUGCAGGAGGUCCCGGGUUCAAUUCCCGGAUCGCCCC